UACAUGUGGGGCAAGCGUUGUUCGGAAUUACUGGGCAUAAAGGGUGCGUAGGCGGCUUGUUAAGUCAGGGGUGAAAGAUUUCGGCCCAACCGGAAAAUGGCCUUUGAUACUGGCGAGCUCGAGUGCGUGAGGGGUGACUGGAACGAGCAGUGUAGCGGUGAAAUGCGUAGAUAUUGCUCGGAAGGCCAACGGCGAAGGCAGGUCACUGGUACGCAACUGACGCUGAGGCACGAAAGCGUGGGGAGCAAACAGG
Molecule: ribosomal RNA, 253 nt
Filed under: uncultured bacterium
Lineage: Bacteria
Description: partial 16S ribosomal RNA
Rfam family: Bacterial small subunit ribosomal RNA
Source: RNAcentral